CAUGUCACUGCCAGGGUUCGAAGUACAGGACUCUUACCUCCAAGAGGAAGAUGACUGACUUCAUAAGGCAGAAAAUAAGAGGAGAGCCACCAGAAAAGACUAGAAGGGUUGUGGCAAACCCGUGGGGUGCAGAGCACAAGUGCUACACUGUUUCAUCAGGAGUGCACAAACAAGGAUGCAGUCCCAUUCCUGGUUUCAGCUCGCUCUUCCUGCUGCUCUAUUAACAACUAGAGGAGACAACAGCUCCCACCUCUGGCCACUGGUACUCUGGAUCCCUGUUCACCACCCUUCUUCUCAUUGCUGCCUGGCCUAGGGAGAGAAGCCUUCCCAACUGGUGAUCAGCCUGGUGCAACCACAGUCCCUCUUAGCUGCUGCUGAUUUUUCUUUGGCCAUUUCUGACAACUUCUGGAGUGAGUUUGCUAGGGCUGUCCCGGUGUUGUGAGAAAGCCCUGCAGAGCCUGCGGUUGCCCUCUGCUGCCACAUCACCCUUAUGUGACCUCACCUGCACCUUCUGACUCCUAACAGUGACAUUCAGUGCCAGAAACCCCAUUGUUCUGGGAUCCAGUCAGCUCACAUUAACUGAGAAUAGCUAUGGUUUUUGCUGUGGACCUUCCCUCUUUCCCCCCAGAUGUAUUAAAAAGUCACGCAAGGCCAUUGCUAAGUGUUCGUCUCCUUUAAGUUCAUGUUCCAAUUUGUGCAAUUUCAUUAUAAAGUCAGACUGUGGCAGUUAUAGUGUUAAAUGAGAUGAAGAUAGGAAUGUAUUCACCUUUUUAGUCUGGAACAAAUUCAGACUUCCCUACUGCCAAAUUCCCAGUAUGUUCAGUAAUAAAGUGUGGCUUGUAAACAUAUCAGCACUUAAUGGGGCCUUGAAUCAAGUACUCACUCAUUCCACCAACUACUGUUGGUACCAAAAGUGAUUCAGUGCUUAUUGUACAUCUCUCUUACCGAGGACUUUGUGACUUUUCCUAAGGUGCUAAAACCAAAACUGUAACAGAAGAGGCUUUCUGAUAUAAUAAUAAU
Molecule: long non-coding RNA, 1020 nt
Organism: Haemorhous mexicanus (house finch)
Lineage: Eukaryota; Metazoa; Chordata; Aves; Passeriformes; Fringillidae
Exons: 4
Source: RefSeq, a predicted model, not a curated record